Molecule: long non-coding RNA, 2137 nt
Organism: Cebus imitator (Panamanian white-faced capuchin)
Lineage: Eukaryota; Metazoa; Chordata; Mammalia; Primates; Cebidae
Exons: 3
Source: RefSeq, a predicted model, not a curated record
AAGUGCCUCUCUGAGUGGGUGAUGUUUGAACUGGGUACUUAAGAAAGAGCCAGACAAUCAGAAGGACAGGACUGAAAGGAAAAGGAACAGCUACUGCAAAGGGCAAAGAGAGGAUAAGUGUGGCCUACCGAGGAACAGAAUGAAGGCUGGAGUGGGUGGGAUAGCAUAACUACAGGGGACUAAACAGUAGAAGACCUGGUGGCUGCCAGCCAUGAGAAGAGAGACAGACCUCGAGGAGUAACAAAAACCAACCAACCAACCAAUAAUUGCAUAAUGAGGAAAACGAAGCUAAACAGUAUCAGAAUACUGGAGUCGUGAUUUGAAUGGAAGCAGUCUGAAGCAGUAAUCCCCGCUUCUGACCCCAGUCGGAAGGUUAACCCUGAAUUGAAGCAGUUCAGGAAUUACCCUUAACCAUCACACAAAGCUGCCUCUCUUCACAAAAGCUGUCUUAUCCAUUCUCAAGAAGCAAGGAAAAGAAAAAAUGAAGCUUGGGAAAGGGUCCUUCCUGGCUGGCAAGCAGAACUGAGUUAAGGUCAGAGUUGUCUGUUUCACGUGUUAAAAAGUCUCUCGCACCACUUUCCCCGAGACGCUCGCGCGCUAACACGGCCGUGCACAUCCCUGCCAGGCGGACACCGCGACCGCCAGAAGCGGCCAGGGCUGAGGCGCGCGGAAGGGCUCCGGGAGAGGCCCUGUAGGAGGGCGGGCACGAGUGGGUACCUGGGCUGCUGCCUGCUCCAGUCGGCUGGUUCUCCCACCAUUCGUCUCCGAGAUCGUCUGCCAUCUCAGCUCAGGACUCGACGUGGGCGGAUCACAGGGGAAGGCGUCCGGCUGAGGAGAAUCAAGCUCUCUUCAAAGCCGGACGGCUGGCGUCUCUGCACGCGGAGCCUCCCCUAGACCGGUCCCGCGGUCGCCUCCGCCCCGCGGCGAUGACGUCAAGCCUCCGCCCCGCCUCUCCGGAAGCCUCUGCGAGACUCGUUACAGUUUCCACACAGGCGCCGACAGGCAGAAGCAGUUUGGAAAUGCAAAAUAAAUUUCCCCAAAGCUAAAAGACAAAAAAAGAAAUAAGCCAAAAGGGAUUGUCAUCGUUUUUGAUAAUGUAUUUCAAAAAAUUUUGUUUAGGUGUUACGUUUUCCAAUAAGGUUGUGUCGAAAGUGUGAAACACGAUGCUAAGACGAUUUUUUUCUGCUCAGUUUGAGUUGCGCCGCGGGAGAAGACUCGGACACGUGCGUGUGUUUUCGCUGGUGCGUCAGCGUUUCGGAAUUAUGUGUUUGUACAGUUUUCUCUUAGAAACCGUGCACAAGGAUCCAUGACCAUGAAUGUCAGGUCUUUGUGGUAAAUGUAGUUCUGCUAUUUAUGCAAUACGAGUAAAGAAAAUGUCAUUGGUCUGGAAAGGCUCGCCCACAGAGAGACGCAAUGGCCCGAAGACUUGAAAGCUGUUUCCCCAUACUCCCUGGGUUGUGUAUCCCACCCCCUAUUUGGGAAACGAACUAAUAAGGGAGUCCAUUGCUUCGUUACGAUGGGUAAGAGACCCCAAUGCCUGUUGUCCCAUUCCCAACGUGAAGUGGCAAGAGAGGGACUAGGAAAACCCUCUGGGCGCCAAGUGCUGGGGCUAGCUGUGGAGUAAUUAUGGACGGUAGUUUUCAGGACGGCCAUCAUACACGGAGAUAAAAAUUAUACAAAAUGUAUUAACAGCACGCAAUGUUUCUGGUACCAUGCAUGGAAUAGUAAGAUGAGUCUUUUCAGGUGUCACCCUAUAGUAGUGAAAAUGCAACUUGUGAGAAUAAAGGGCUAGACUUCCAAUGGAUGCAUCUUCGGAAAUGACAAGCCGGGGAAACUUAAUCUGAUGAGCAUAGAAUUAGCCAUAUAUGGAAAAUUACGCCAUGUAAAUCCAACUUAAGAUAGUUUAUAAAUGCAUUACUGCCUAGACUUUUAUCAGCACACUCUAAAUGUCCCCAAAGGUAGCACAUUAUGUAUAAAUGUGGCAAAUGUGAAAUAAUCUAUAAAGAUUAAAAGUAAUGUGGCUUUUGUGAAGAAACGUAGAUGACAGGAGAUUUUCGUGAUUAAUAGAUUAUUGGAAAAGAAAGAUAAGAAAUGCCAGUGUGGAAGAGGAAGUGCUAUGGCUAAUAAAUAUGCAAAG